UCUGUUCCAGUUGUUGGCGGUCGUAG
RNAcentral lists this non-coding RNA (26 nucleotides) under Mus musculus (house mouse). Lineage: Eukaryota; Metazoa; Chordata; Mammalia; Rodentia; Muridae. The record is from RNAcentral.